Molecule: ribosomal RNA, 372 nt
Filed under: Triticum aestivum (bread wheat)
Lineage: Eukaryota; Viridiplantae; Streptophyta; Magnoliopsida; Poales; Poaceae
Description: partial small subunit ribosomal RNA
Source: RNAcentral
AUGGGGCUUCUCGAAGAAGCGGAGGUGGACAUGGAGGCUCCUUCUCUCGAACCCUUUGGGUUUGGUGAUGACUUGCAGGAAGAGGGUGAUGAGGAGGAGGAAGGGGAAGAUGAGGAGGAGGUGACCGAGAUAGAGGAGGAGGCGUUCGCCGCCGUUGCAAAACCCACCGUGCGCUCGACAAACUAUAGCGAGGAUGAAGAUAUUCUCUUGGUUCGUGCUUGGGCACAUGUGGGGUUGGAUGCAAGCACCAGUACCGAUCAAACCGGUAAACGCUAUUGGCAACGCAUAGAGGACGUCUAUUGCAAGAUCAAGCCGAAGACCGGUGGGUACAUCCCUCAUAGUUACUGGUUGCUUCAAGGCCGGUGGGAGUAG